AAAUGUAACUGUUUUUGACAUUCUUAGAUCAGAUUCUCCUGGACACUGUGCCAAAUAUGGUAGCUACUCCUUGAUUGAGGAUCGAAUUAACAAAGUUUUGGAUGUUCAGCUUGUCCAAAGCUCAGAAGUCCCAAGCAGCUCUUGGUGUGAGCUAGAGGGUCUAAAGCGAAGUAUGCAGUUCCUGAUGGACCAAGACUUGCAAGUGUCUGCUCUGAUAACAGGCAGAAAUCGGCAAGUAAUGAUGCUAGGAGAGAUCUAAAGCUGAACAGCAUUGACAGGCACAGUAUCACUCAAAAUAAAUUCUAAAUUCUAUAAAAUCAAUUUGUGUUUUAGGUGGCCAAGUGGGUACGUGAGAAAAUGUGUUCAGAAGGAACAAUGUAUUUCUUUGACGUCUGGCAUAUUGGGAAAAUUAUGUAUUGUGAUGUUGGUAGUUAUAUAUAACAGACUUUAUGUUUGUAGUUAAAUUCACUUUCCUAAUAAUUAGUAUGCUCUGCUCUGUUUGUCUGCUCUGGAGCAGGUGUACAGAAAGCACUGGAUGCUACUGCAAAAGAGAGGGACUGUGAGGAUCUAAAGCUGUGGAGGCCAGCCAUUAUCAACCAUCUCUACUGGACCGCAGCUUCCACCCCUACAGGAGAUCCAGAUGAGAUGCAGGCAAAAUGGCAGAGUAUGAUAAAUCAUGUACAGGACAUACAUGAACACAGCACUCGUGCAUUUACCAGCUGCGCACAUUCACCGUUGGAAGGAGAGGCAAGAAACAAGGAGUGGCUGGAAACAGGAUCACCAGCAGCCACUAAACUGGAGAGUGUAGCUGCCAGGAAAGCACUGGUAAAGGAUAUUCGACAAUUGUCACCUCAGCAUCAGACAUUCUCCCUGGAGGCCUACCAUUCCCUCAUUCUGCACUUUGCUCCCAAACACACUGGCUUUUCUUUUCUUGGGAUGUACAGCAGGUAGUGUUAUCACUUAAAAGUAUCGAUACUAAUAAAAUUAGUUUUUUUUUUUUUUUUCAAUUUCAGGAUAUUGCAAUACAUCUGUACUUUUGUAGCAGGUAAAUGAUGACAGAAUGAAUAUGGCUAAAAACUAAUGCAGUCUUGUAUAGCAGACCAAAAUGUUAUAGAUUGAUAAUAGCAUUACAUAUUGUUUGCAAAAAAAUAAUUGCAAAGAUGAGUAAUUGUCUUAGACCCAUUUAAACUGAAAACAUUAAUGUCAUGUAUUUCUGUUGCA
This is a long non-coding RNA of Carassius carassius (crucian carp), 1221 nucleotides long. RefSeq lists it as uncharacterized. The record is from RefSeq and is a predicted model, not a curated record. The transcript has 3 exons. NCBI's taxonomy places the organism in Eukaryota, Metazoa, Chordata, Actinopteri, Cypriniformes, Cyprinidae.